Molecule: ribosomal RNA, 246 nt
Filed under: uncultured bacterium
Lineage: Bacteria
Description: partial 16S ribosomal RNA
Rfam family: Bacterial small subunit ribosomal RNA
Source: RNAcentral
GGGGCGAGCGUUGUUCGGAAUUACUGGGCGUAAAGGGCGCGUAGGCGGCCUUCUAAGUCGAACGUGAAAUCCCCGGGCUCAACCCGGGAACUGCGUCCGAUACUGGGAGGCUUGAAUCCGGGAGAGGGAUGUGGAAUUCCAGGUGUAGCGGUGAAAUGCGUAGAUAUCUGGAGGAACACCGGUGGCGAAGGCGGCAUCCUGGACCGGUAUUGACGCUGAGGCGCGAAAGCCAGGGGAGCAAACGGG